This 684-nucleotide ribosomal RNA is filed under the name Triticum aestivum (bread wheat). RNAcentral's name for it is "partial small subunit ribosomal RNA". The record is from RNAcentral. Lineage: Eukaryota; Viridiplantae; Streptophyta; Magnoliopsida; Poales; Poaceae.
AUGAUUCCCCCUUCAGACGAGGAGAUUUUUGAAACAGUUUGUACUGCUAACACCAAUUCGGCCUCGGGCCCUGACGGAUUCUCCAUCCCUUUCUUUAGGAAAUUCUGGCCCCAACUUUGGGGCCUCCUCCUUGCAAUCAUCCAAGGUUUCUGGUUGGGAACCGUGGAUAUCUCUCGCCUAAACUACGCUGUCCUCACUCUCAUACCUAAAGUUAAAGGGGCUGACAAGAUUUCUCAGUUCAGACCUAUUGCCCUCAUCAAUAACUUCGCUCAGUUUUCGACAAAAGGUUUUGCUACUAGGCUAUCCCCCAUCACUCACCGUACCCUCGGUCCUUUCCAAUCGGCCUUUGUCAAAGGCAUGUUCAUCCUGGACGACAUCCUAUGUUCGCAUGAGAUCGUCCAUGACUUGCGUGUUCGUGGUACUAGAGCGGUGAUCUUUAAGCUUGAUUUUGAGAAAGCUUACGAUUCGGUCAGUUGGAACUUUCUUUGUCAGGUGUUGCUAGCCAAGGGCUUUGAUGGGGCUGUGGUGCACAGACUUAUGCAGCUGGUCACAGUUGGCCACACCGCGAUUUCGGUAAACGGGAAUAUCAGUAAUUUUUUCACCAACCGCAGGGGCCUAAGGCAGGGUGACCCGACUUCCCCCUUCUCUUUAACUUCGUGGCUGACUCUCUCUCCCACAUCCUGA